UCUAAAUGACAGCUUUCCUAAAAAUAUAUCCUAUUUCUAAAAUAAGAAAUAUCCCAAUCGCCUUGCUGACAGUAUCGCAAUGUAUUGCAACAUAUCAUAUCGCAACCCCUGUAUCGUGAUACGUAUCGCCUGAUUCUUGGCAAUACACAGCCCUAGUUUUUAUACUGUACAAACUGUACUUUCUAUCACCCUACACCAACGCUACCCCUUACAGGAAACUUUGUGCAUUUUUAAAAAACACUUAAUUCUGUAUGAUUUAUUACAUUUAUGCAUUUAGCAGACCCUUUUAUCCAAAGCGACUUACAAUGCUAACGCAAUGCGCUACCACUGAGCCACAGGAUGAUACAAAUCCCCAUGAGUCUGUGUAAAUUCAGGUUUAAAUCCCCACCAGGAUAUACAAACCUGUACACACACACACACACACACACACACACACACACACACAAACACACACACACACACACACAUUUUCAUGUUUUAUGAUGACAUCACAUAGGCGUAAUGGUUUUUAUACUGUACAAACUGUAUUUUCUAUCCCCUACCCAAACCUACCCCUCACACAAAACAUUUGACAUUUUUAGAUUUUCAAAAAACUUAAUUCCAUAUGAUUUAUAAGCUUGUUUCCUAAUGGGCACCAAAAAUUUCCCCACAAGGAUUUUGAAUAUUGCCAUAUCUGUGGCCCCAUAAGUUGUUGUUCCCUUCACUCAAGCCUCCUCCUCCUUCAAGUAAACACCUGUUUUCGCACACUGCCUCUCAGUGGUGUAAGCCCAAAAUACAUUUUUACGUCAAAGUGGUUACCAACCGCGGUUUCUGGACCCCUUUUGCACGUCUCCUUUGUCCGAAAACACACAUUUCAGGUCUUUGAAUCAUUGGGAACAACUAAUUAGACAACGGCUUAGUUGUUCAAGACUUUCAGUAGCCUAUCAGUAUUGACCUCAUCAGUGAGUGAUGAGACACACACUGACGGAAGGUGUAAUGAACACUUUCUUCUGACUCAUUAUUCUUAUUCUUCUCUCAUAUUUCCAGCUCCUGUGACUGUUCCUGUAAUCAGCAGUACCUCUUCAUCAGCAGCAGCAGUUGUGCCAAAAUGUGAACAUCUUAACAUCACUGAACUCUGUCAGACACAUGCAGAAGUUCACGUCUACGGUUGUGAUUCUACUGAAGCUGUGAUCCGAUUGGUGGUCACUGCUCUGAUGGGCGUGGCUGCUGCAGCGGCUGUUGUUCUUCUGGUCAAUGACGUCAGAGCUACACGAGGUUAAAAGAAAACAGAUAGACUUCAUAUACUAAAACAAAGCUUUGCUUACCAAUGCUCUCUUUUGGAUCGUAAAAGCUCCAUUACCUGAAUUGUUUCAAUAUGGUGUACAUCAGGGCCAUCUGGUGUCCAAAACGAUGAAUAUUCUUCAAUAUUUAAUUUUACUCUGCAGUGGCAUCUUUGGUUAAACUCCUUUCUUCUUCUUCUUCUUCUUCUUCUUCUUCUUCUUCUUAUUAUUAUUAUUAUCAUGCUUAUUUUUUUUAGCAAUACUACAAAUGAUUUGGAUGUAGCCUAAUUAUAAAUGUAGAAAUAUGUCAUGCCAAAUAAAGCACCUUCAACUGAAAACCA
Cyprinus carpio (common carp) is the source of this 1600-nucleotide long non-coding RNA. NCBI's taxonomy places the organism in Eukaryota, Metazoa, Chordata, Actinopteri, Cypriniformes, Cyprinidae. The record is from Ensembl.